RNAcentral lists this ribosomal RNA (405 nucleotides) under uncultured bacterium. RNAcentral describes it as "bacterial SSU rRNA". It matches the Rfam family "Bacterial small subunit ribosomal RNA", at positions 354 to 775 of the family's 1533-position model. The record is from RNAcentral.
AUCAGGAAUCUUGCGCAAUGGGGGAAACCCUGACGCAGCGACGUCGCGUGGAGGAUGACGGCCUUCGGGUUGUAAACUCCUUUUAUCGGGGAAGAGACAGGACGGUACCCGAUGAAUAAGCCCCGGCUAACUCCGUGCCAGCAGCCGCGGUAAUACGGAGGGGGCGAGCGUUGUCCGAAUUUAUUGGGCGUAAAGCGCGUGUAGGCGGACCUACAAGCCUUUGGUGAAAGCCUGGAGCUCAACUCCAGAACUGCCGAAGGGACUGUGGGUCUGGAGGCCGGCAGAGGAGAGUGGAAUUCCUGGUGUAGCGGUGGAAUGCGUAGAGAUCAGGAAGAACACCCAUGGCGAAGGCAGCUCUCUGGGCCGGUACUGACGCUGAGACGCGAAAGCGUGGGGAGCGAACGG